This 953-nucleotide ribosomal RNA is filed under the name Staphylococcus epidermidis. Its description in RNAcentral is "bacterial SSU rRNA". It matches the Rfam family "Bacterial small subunit ribosomal RNA", at positions 64 to 999 of the family's 1533-position model. The record is from RNAcentral. Lineage: Bacteria; Bacillati; Bacillota; Bacilli; Caryophanales; Staphylococcaceae.
GAGCGAACAGACGAGGAGCUUGCUCCUCUGACGUUAGCGGCGGACGGGUGAGUAACACGUGGAUAACCUACCUAUAAGACUGGGAUAACUUCGGGAAACCGGAGCUAAUACCGGAUAAUAUAUUGAACCGCAUGGUUCAAUAGUGAAAGACGGUUUUGCUGUCACUUAUAGAUGGAUCCGCGCCGCAUUAGCUAGUUGGUAAGGUAACGGCUUACCAAGGCAACGAUGCGUAGCCGACCUGAGAGGGUGAUCGGCCACACUGGAACUGAGACACGGUCCAGACUCCUACGGGAGGCAGCAGUAGGGAAUCUUCCGCAAUGGGCGAAAGCCUGACGGAGCAACGCCGCGUGAGUGAUGAAGGUCUUCGGAUCGUAAAACUCUGUUAUUAGGGAAGAACAAAUGUGUAAGUAACUAUGCACGUCUUGACGGUACCUAAUCAGAAAGCCACGGCUAACUACGUGCCAGCAGCCGCGGUAAUACGUAGGUGGCAAGCGUUAUCCGGAAUUAUUGGGCGUAAAGCGCGCGUAGGCGGUUUUUUAAGUCUGAUGUGAAAGCCCACGGCUCAACCGUGGAGGGUCAUUGGAAACUGGAAAACUUGAGUGCAGAAGAGGAAAGUGGAAUUCCAUGUGUAGCGGUGAAAUGCGCAGAGAUAUGGAGGAACACCAGUGGCGAAGGCGACUUUCUGGUCUGUAACUGACGCUGAUGUGCGAAAGCGUGGGGAUCAAACAGGAUUAGAUACCCUGGUAGUCCACGCCGUAAACGAUGAGUGCUAAGUGUUAGGGGGUUUCCGCCCCUUAGUGCUGCAGCUAACGCAUUAAGCACUCCGCCUGGGGAGUACGACCGCAAGGUUGAAACUCAAAGGAAUUGACGGGGACCCGCACAAGCGGUGGAGCAUGUGGGUUAAUUCGAAGCAACGCGAAGAACCUUACCAAUCUUGACAUCCUCUGACCCUC